Gasterosteus aculeatus aculeatus (three-spined stickleback) is the source of this 1947-nucleotide long non-coding RNA. Lineage: Eukaryota; Metazoa; Chordata; Actinopteri; Perciformes; Gasterosteidae. The record is from Ensembl.
CGGUCGUCCCGGAGCCCCUCCCUCCCCCGGCCGACGGCGUCGCCUCUCCCGGAGCCUCCUCGCCUCCGGACGAGUCGCUGUGCUGGUUCAUCUCGCUUGGCUGAGGCUCCGCCUACACAGGAAGUGAGUCAGCGGCGUUUUUUUUCAGAGCCGCGGCGGGUUUCACCCGAGUCUCCGUACUCACAGUCAGAGGCGUUAGCUGCGCGGCGCUCCUCGCCUGCUCCGCCAGCCUCUUCAUCUCCGAGGCGUAGGCCGCCAUCUCCCGCUCCACCCGCAGGUGGCGCUGCAGCAACGCCGCCGUGCUCGCCUCGUCCUUCCCGUGAUCCUCGCUGGUCAGCAGCGGCUUCCUGUCGCCCAGCCAGGAGUCGGCCUCCGCCACAUCGGCAAAGUACUGGUGGAGGAAAGGAGUUAGCGGCGUGAGGCUCCCGAUGAAAGACCUCGCCGUGACCCGAUACGAUGUUCAGCUCAUUCAGCUAGCGGGGGAACUAUCGACAAAGAAAGUCCACAUCAAAAAGGACCCAAUUUAACUUCUACAAGUACACGCCCACUUCCAAACACAGCAGAGACACUACAGCACACACACACACACACACACACACACCUGUUUGAUGGCGGCGGCGGCCUGCAGUCGGUCGCGGCGUCCCGUCGCCUCGUGGCCCAGGAGGCUCCACUGCUUCUCCAGGGUGUGGGUCCACCUCUGGACGAGGUGCCGGUUGGGCUGGCUCUGGUCCGCCAGCAGGUCCCGCCCGCGGCCCAGAAGCCCCCGGUGCAGAGUCUCCUGGGCCUGAAGCUCCGCCUCCAGCAGCUGACGGGAGGCAUUGGGAGGCGUUUACCAGGUGCACAAAGGACCCGACGAAAUGACCAAAAUCCUUCUAACGUUCAUUUGUGGUAAAUAAACCACGAGAGUGUGUGUGUGUCUGUGUCCCACCUUGUGUGUGUGUGUGUGUGUGUGGUGUGUGUCCCACCUUGUGCUUGUGUGCGUGUCCCACCUUGUGUGUGUGUGUGUGGUGUGUGUCCCACCUUGUGCUUGUGUGCGUGUCCCACCUUGUGUGUGUGUGCGUGUGUGCGUGUCCCACCUUGUGCUUGUGUUGGCUCAGCUGGAUGUGGUUCAGGUCUCGUCCGAGUCCGGCGGUCUGAAUCCUCAGCCGGCGCUCGUAGCACCAGAACUCUGCCUCCUCACAGUCAGAGAAGAAGUCAAAGAGCCUCCGCUGGGCCUCCAGCUGAAGCCUCCUGGGGGGAGGAAACGAGAGGAGGAGAUUAGAGGAGCAGAUGAGUAGUAUUCAUAUCUGUUGUUCAGUAAACAGUUAUUGAUUAUUGUCUAGAGAAGAAUGAUCAGAAGUGAACCUGCUGCUGCUGAGAGAAACCAGAGAUCUGUACUGAGAGUCCAGAUCUGCCACUCUGCACUGAAUCUGAAGACCUCCGAUCACCUUCACCUGAGAGAAGGACACACAAUGUCAGCUCCAACUCCUACGUGCCAGCUGAGAUAUCAGGUACAUCAACACGAUCAAUAACCUUCAUUGACUUGCUGCUGAUGGUGCUGAUGGUUUCUCCGUGAGCUGAGAUCUGAGCUUCCAGGAGAUCUUGUUUCUGAAGGAGAGACUCGACCUCCGCCAGCUGCUUGCCCACCUCAGAGGAACUGGCCUGGGACUGAGGGGAGGAGGGGGGGUGGGGGGGGGUCUCUUACCAAGCAGCAUCCCAUAAUAAUCACCAAAACUAUGUCUAAAUCUUUAACAAGUGUGAACUCACUUGUAGCUCUUUCACUUCCUGGGAGACGAGCUCGAUGUCUCGGAGCACGCUGAGGUUUUCAACUACAUUUCCCAGCAGCCCCCUCUGCUCUUGGAGCUGCUGCAGGAGGUCCUUCCAUCGAUGGCUGAUGUUCUCCUCUCUUACAGACAUAUAGAUAUACAAAUGUGUCACACAAAUGUGGCACACAUAUAUAUAUAUAUA